AUUGAACGCUGGCGGCAGGCCUAACACAUGCAAGUCGAACGAGUGGCGGACGGGUGAGUAAUGUAUGGGAAACUGCCUGAUGGAGGGGGAUAACUCCUGGAAACGGUAGCUAAUACCACAUACCAUCGGAUGUGCCCAGAGGGGAUUCGCUAUUAGGUGGGGUAAAGGCUCACAUAGGCGACGAUCCCUAGCUGGUCUGAGAGGAUGACAAGCCAAACUGGAACUGUGACACGGUCAAGAAUCAUACGGGAGGCAGCAGGGGGGAAUAUUGCACAAUGGGCGCAAGCCUGAUGCAGCCAAGCCGCGUGUAUGAAGAAGGCCUUCGGGUUGUAAAGUACUUUCAGCGGGGAGGCGUUACCCGCAGAAGAAGCACCGGCUAACUCCGUGCCAGCCGCCGCGGUAAUAC
Molecule: ribosomal RNA, 406 nt
Filed under: uncultured bacterium
Lineage: Bacteria
Description: partial 16S ribosomal RNA
Rfam family: Bacterial small subunit ribosomal RNA
Source: RNAcentral